UUAUUAACCCUUUCCUCCAUGGAUUUUUUUUUUUAAUAUACUUGAUUCGCAUAGGAUUUUUUUCAUUAAAAAAAUCAUCAGUUUUAAAGUGCUAAUGCAUUGUGAAAACUAAUAUUUCAUCAAUGAAAUUGAAGUCAGAUAAUUCUCAUGAAUCUCCUUUUCAUAUUGGAUACAAUUUUUUUUAAGUCUGAUGCAGACAUUUUGUAGUCAAAGCAUUUCAACUGAGGUACUACACAGGCGUCAAAAGGUGUCAUUAUGGAGUAAAGGGGGUGGCGUCAAAAGGCGUCAUUAUGGAGGAAAGGGUUAAUAUUUAUUUGUGUCCUGGCAAUAUCACAAGAACCAUUACUGAUGAAUGGUGAAAGUGAAAAUCGUCAAUAUCAAAUUUGACCUCCAUUUUGUCAUCAGUAUCAACAUCUUAAAAUUUGAAAAGCUUAGAUUGAAUGGUUCAUGAGAAAAUGCAACAACGUGAAUGGAAACGCCAUUUCACAAUCUUUCAAGAACCAUAACUCCUGAACGGUAAAAGUCAAAAUCGUCAUUAUUGAACUUGACCUCUAAUUUGCCAUCAGUAACAACAUAUAAAAAUUUCAAAAGCUUUGGUUGAAUAGUUCAUGAGAAAAUGCACGGACACGACUGGAAACACCAUUUUUCAAUCUUUCAAGAACCAUUACUCC
RNAcentral lists this long non-coding RNA (671 nucleotides) under Mytilus galloprovincialis (Mediterranean mussel). The record is from RNAcentral. Lineage: Eukaryota; Metazoa; Mollusca; Bivalvia; Mytilida; Mytilidae.